RNAcentral lists this ribosomal RNA (251 nucleotides) under uncultured prokaryote. Its description in RNAcentral is "partial 16S ribosomal RNA". It matches the Rfam family "Bacterial small subunit ribosomal RNA", at positions 524 to 774 of the family's 1533-position model. The record is from RNAcentral.
UACGGAGGAUGCGAGCGUUAUCCGGAUUUAUUGGGUUUAAAGGGUGCGCAGGUUGUUUGAUAAGUCAGUGGUGAAAGUCUGUCGCUUAACGGUAGGAUUGCCAUUGAUACUGUUGGACUUGAAUAUGGAUGAGGUAGGCGGAAUGUGUAGUGUAGCGGUGAAAUGCAUAGAUAUUACACAGAACACCGAUUGCGAAGGCAGCUUACUAAUCCAUCAUUGACGCUGAGGCACGAAAGCGUGGAGAUCAAACA